CGAAGAAGCACAGAUGAUCGCCGGUUUCGCAAGAAACGGGAGGAAAGUCCGGGCUCCAUAGGGUAGGAUGGUUCUUAACGGGAACCGAGGGUGACCUCAGGGCUAGUGCCACAGAGAGAAGACCGCCUGCCACUGGCAGGUAAGGGUGAAAGGGUGAGGUAAGAGCUCACCAGCUCUGAUGGUGACAUCAGAGGCUAGGUAAACCCCAUCCGGAGCAAGGCCAAAUAGAGAGGCGCUUGAAGGCUACCCGCCUGAAGCUUCUGGGUUGGCUGCUUGAGGCCGUCGGCAACGGCGGUCCUAGAGGAAUGAUCGUCCCCUGACUUUGGGUAACCGAAAUCAGGUACAAGACCCGGCUUACGGGCUUCUUCGACCA
Desulfobacteraceae bacterium 4572_35.2 is the source of this 373-nucleotide non-coding RNA. NCBI's taxonomy places the organism in Bacteria, Pseudomonadati, Thermodesulfobacteriota, Desulfobacteria, Desulfobacterales, Desulfobacteraceae. The record is from Rfam.